Molecule: ribosomal RNA, 466 nt
Filed under: uncultured bacterium
Lineage: Bacteria
Description: partial 16S ribosomal RNA
Rfam family: Bacterial small subunit ribosomal RNA
Source: RNAcentral
GACGAACGCUGGCGGCGUGCUUAACACAUGCAAGUCGAACGGAAAGGCCCUGCUUUUGUGGGGUGCUCGAGUGGCGAACGGGUGAGUAACACGUGAGUAACCUGGCCUUGACUUUGGGAUAACUUCAGGAAACUGGGGCUAAUACCGGAUAGGAGCUCCUGCUGCAUGGUGGGGGUUGGAAAGUUUCGGCGGUUGGGGAUGGACUCGCGGCUUAUCAGCUUGUUGGUGGGGUAGUGGCUUACCAAGGCUUUGACGGGUAGCCGGCCUGAGAGGGUGACCGGCCACGUGGGGACUGGGAUACGGCCAAGACUCCUAGGGGAGGGAGGAGGGGGGAAUAUUGCAAAAGGGGCGGAGGCUUGAUGAGCCAACGCCGCGGGGGGGAUGAGGGCCUUGGGGUUGUAAACCGCUUUCGCCGGUGACGAAGGGGGAGUGACGGUAAGGGGAAAAGAAGCACCGGCUAACUACG